This 72-nucleotide transfer RNA is filed under the name Porites rus. Its description in RNAcentral is "tRNA-Ser". Lineage: Eukaryota; Metazoa; Cnidaria; Anthozoa; Scleractinia; Poritidae. The record is from RNAcentral.
GAAGAGGUAGGCUUGGAGCCAGCCAUCUUUGAAAGAAUGCGUAGUAGUUCACUCAAGAACUCUUUUUCCCCA